GUGGGGAAUCUUCCGCAAUGGACGAAAGUCUGACGGAGCGACGCCGCGUGAGUGAAGAAGGCCUUCGGGUCGUAAAGCUCUGUCAUCAGGGACGAACGGCCGGUGGAGUGGAAAGCCACCGGAUUGACGGUACCUGAGAAGGAAGCCACGGCUAACUACGUGCCAGCAGCCGCGGUAAUACGUAGGUGGCAAGCGUUGUCCGGAAUUAUUGGGCGUAAAGCGCGCGCAGGUGGGAUCUUAAGUCCAUUUUUAAAGUUCGGAGCUCAACUCCGUGAUGGGAUGGAAACUGGGAUUCUUGAGUACCGGAGAGGAAAGCGGAAUUCCCCGUGUAGCGGUGAAAUGCGUAGAUAUGGGGAGGAACACCAGUGGCGAAGGCGGCUUCCUGGCACAAUACUGACGCUCAUGUGCGAAAGCUAGGGCAGCGAACGGGAUUAGAAACCCUUGUAGUCC
This 450-nucleotide ribosomal RNA is filed under the name uncultured bacterium. RNAcentral describes it as "partial 16S ribosomal RNA". It matches the Rfam family "Bacterial small subunit ribosomal RNA", at positions 354 to 796 of the family's 1533-position model. The record is from RNAcentral.